GACGAACGCUGGCGGCGUGCUUAACACAUGCCAGUCGAACGGAAAGGCCCUGCUUUUGUGGGGUGCUCGAGUGGCGAACGGGUGAGUAACACGUGAGUAACCUGCCCUUGACUUUGGGAUAACUUCAGGAAACUGGGGAUAAUACCGGAUAGGAGCUCCUGCUGCAUGGUGGGGGUUGGAAAGUUUCGGCGGUUGGGGAUGGACUCGCGGCUUAUCAGCUUGUUGGUGGGGUAGUGGCUUACCAAGGCAUUGACGGGUAGCCGGCCUGGGAGGGUGGCCGGGGACAUUGGGCCUGAGGGAGGGCGCAGUCUGCAACUGGGGGCAGUGGUGGGGAGUAUGGCACAGUGGGGGGGAGCCUGAUGCGACGACGCCGGGUUCGGGAAGCAGGCCUUCGGGUUGUGAACCGCAUUCGCCUGUGACGAAGGGUGGGUGACGGUAAUGGGUAAAGAAGCACCGGCUAACUACGUG
This 468-nucleotide ribosomal RNA is filed under the name uncultured bacterium. RNAcentral's name for it is "partial 16S ribosomal RNA". It matches the Rfam family "Bacterial small subunit ribosomal RNA", at positions 28 to 507 of the family's 1533-position model. The record is from RNAcentral.